This 441-nucleotide unclassified non-coding RNA is filed under the name Bombus terrestris (buff-tailed bumblebee). RNAcentral's name for it is "misc RNA ENSBTSG00005030988.1". The record is from RNAcentral. Lineage: Eukaryota; Metazoa; Arthropoda; Insecta; Hymenoptera; Apidae.
UUAACACUUUGACUGCCACGCCAAAAUCACAUGUUUCGCUCAGGACAACACGGGAGUAUUUUUAUUAUUCAAAGGCUUCGUUUAUUUCAACAAACCAUUCGCAUUCGUUAUUUCGUCGUAAACAAAACGUCCAGAAUAUAUUGUUGAAACGUGUAGAAGAUAUUAGUAAACAGUAUGUGCUCAUUCUAUAUAUAAUAGUGUUACGUCCCGAGGCUUACUAUAGGCCGUGUUCCUAACCGUCUCCCUUGGUACUACAGUGUUCCAGACUGAUCGUCUUACAUGACCGGCGAGAUAUACACAAUGUAGCGAUAAGCGCAUAGUUGUCGUCAAGCAGCGAAUUCCAAAAAACAUCGAUUCGCCUUCGGUCCGUUAUUUUACCUACACAAAAAAGGCGGCUACGUGAUCAUAGGCGCGAAUGGUUGCGAGACCCGAGCGUGGCGG